Molecule: ribosomal RNA, 329 nt
Filed under: uncultured eukaryote
Lineage: Eukaryota
Description: partial 18S ribosomal RNA
Rfam family: Eukaryotic small subunit ribosomal RNA
Source: RNAcentral
CCCUUAGAUGUUCUGGGCCGCACGCGCGCUACACUGACAGAGCCAACGAGUUCAUUUCCUUGCCCGGAAGGGUUGGGUAAUCUUGUUAAACUCUGUCGUGCUGGGGAUAGAGCAUUGCAAUUAUUGCUCUUCAACGAGGAAUGCCUAGUAAGCGUACGUCAUCAGCGUGCGUUGAUUACGUCCCUGCCCUUUGUACACACCGCCCGUCGCUACUACCGAUUGAAUGGCUGAGUGAGGCCUUCGGACUGGCCCAGGGAGGUCGGCAACGACCACCCAGGGCCGGAAAGUUGGUCAAACUCCGUCAUUUAGAGGAAGUAAAAGUCGUAACA